RNAcentral lists this unclassified non-coding RNA (268 nucleotides) under Hevea brasiliensis (rubber tree). The record is from RNAcentral. Lineage: Eukaryota; Viridiplantae; Streptophyta; Magnoliopsida; Malpighiales; Euphorbiaceae.
CGCCUCUCGCUUGCGUCGCCUCUCACCUCGCCGGCCUGAGGUGUCGCCUCUUGCCUCGCCAGGCGUUCCAGUCGAGGUGACAGAGGGGCGCCUCACCUCGCCUGGCGCCUCGCUCACCUUUGAUAACACUGGAUGAACCAUAUCUAAUACUACCUUACAAAUACGCUGCACAUCAUUGCAUAUAAGGUUUUCGCCUUAGUCCAGAUUUUGCAAUAGGUUUUUCAAUACUGAAAAAUAUUAAGUGAUUUUGGGUCUAGAGAAUGCCACA